GAAUCACCGUUAAUUCCAACCCUCACCCUGUUUCAUCUGUCUUCCCUGACCAUCAGCCCCAGAAGGGCCAUGACCUCACUCAUAUUACUCAUAUUCAAGGGAACCAAGAGGGUGGACCUUACUGGCUUGCUUUCUGUCCCCUCUAGUCCCUUCUGUGCAAGGGAUGGGACGGUGGCCAGGCUAGUCCUGAGCCACUUCCCCUGAUUCUCUUCCUGCCUCCUGCUCUAGACGUGUACUCAUAUGAUGAGGAUGACAUGGUCCUGGACCCCAGCCUAGCUGAGCAUCUGUCCCACUUCGGCAUCGACAUGCUGAAGAUGCAGAAGACAGACAAGACGAUGACUGAGUUGGAGAUAGACAUGAACCAGCGGAUUGGUGAAUGGGAGCUGAUCCAGGAGUCGGGUGUGCCACUCAAGCCCCUGUUUGGGCCUGGCUACACAGGCAUCCGGAAUCUGGGUAACAGCUGCUACCUCAACUCCGUGGUCCAGGUGCUCUUCAGCAUCCCUGACUUCCAGAGGAAGUAUGUGGAUAAGCUGGAGAAGAUCUUCCAGAAUGCUCCGACGGACCCUACCCAGGACUUCAGCACCCAGGUGGCCAAGCUGGGCCAUGGCCUUCUCUCCGGGGAGUAUUCCAAGCCAGUACCGGAGUCGGGCGAUGGGGAGCGGGUGCCAGAACAGAAGGAAGUUCAAGAUGGCAUUGCCCCUCGGAUGUUCAAGGCCCUCAUCGGCAAGGGCCACCCUGAAUUCUCCACCAACCGGCAGCAAGAUGCCCAGGAGUUCUUCCUUCACCUUAUCAACAUGGUGGAGAGGAAUUGCCGGAGCUCUGAAAAUCCUAAUGAAGUGUUCCGCUUCUUGGUGGAGGAAAAGAUCAAGUGCCUGGCCACAGAGAAGGUGAAGUACACCCAGCGAGUUGACUACAUCAUGCAGCUGCCUGUGCCCAUGGAUGCAGCCCUUAACAAAGAGGAGCUUCUGGAGUACGAGGAGAAGAAGCGGCAAGCCGAAGAGGAGAAGAUGGCACUGCCAGAACUGGUUCGGGCCCAGGUGCCCUUCAGCUCUUGCCUGGAGGCCUACGGGGCCCCUGAGCAGGUCGAUGACUUCUGGAGCACGGCCCUGCAGGCCAAGUCAGUAGCUGUCAAGACCACAAGAUUUGCCUCAUUCCCUGACUACCUGGUCAUCCAGAUCAAGAAGUUCACCUUUGGCUUAGACUGGGUGCCCAAGAAACUGGAUGUGUCCAUCGAGAUGCCAGAGGAGCUCGACAUCUCCCAGCUGAGGGGCACAGGGCUGCAGCCUGGAGAGGAGGAGCUGCCAGACAUUGCCCCACCCCUGGUCACUCCGGAUGAGCCCAAAGCGCCCAUGCUGGAUGAAUCAGUCAUCAUCCAGCUGGUGGAGAUGGGCUUCCCUAUGGACGCCUGCCGCAAAGCUGUCUACUACACGGGCAACAGUGGGGCCGAGGCCGCCAUGAACUGGGUCAUGUCACACAUGGAUGAUCCAGGUAGGCUGGGGUGGGGAGCAGAGUGGGGCAGGGCUCCAUCCUCCCCCAAACACAUCAACCCCUUCACAUCCACAGAUUUUGCAAACCCCCUCAUCCUGCCUGGCUCUAGUGGGCCAGGCUCCACAAGCGCGGCAGCCGACCCCCCUCCCGAGGACUGCGUGACCACCAUUGUCUCCAUGGGCUUCUCCCGGGACCAGGCCCUGAAAGCGCUGCGGGCCACGAACAAUAGUUUAGAACGGGCUGUGGACUGGAUCUUCAGUCACAUUGACGACCUGGAUGCUGAAGCUGCCAUGGACAUCUCAGAGGGCCGCUCAGCUGCCGACUCCAUCUCUGAGUCUGUGCCAGUGGGACCUAAAGUCCGGGAUGGUCCUGGAAAGUAUCAGCUCUUUGCCUUCAUUAGUCACAUGGGCACCUCUACCAUGUGUGGUCACUAUGUCUGCCACAUCAAGAAGGAAGGCAGAUGGGUGAUCUACAAUGACCAGAAAGUGUGUGCCUCCGAGAAGCCGCCCAAGGACCUGGGCUACAUCUACUUCUACCAGAGAGUGGCCAGCUAAGAGCCCGCCUCACCCCUUACCAAUGAGGGCAGGGGAAGACCACCUGGCAUGAGGGAGAGGGGCUGAGGGACGGACUUCAGCCCCUCUGCUCUGUACCCUGUUUCCUUUUGUCCCUGGCAGCAGGGAAGAAGCUGGAGGCCGUGGGAGAAUGGCUGGGCAGAGCAGAGGGGCAGCGCUAGACUCUGGGGAUGGAGCAGGACGGGGACGGGAGGGGCCGGCCACCUGUCUGUAAGGAGACUUUGUUGCUUCCCCUGCCCCCGGAAUCCACAAUGCUCUGCUUCUCUGUGUGGCCCCGCCCAGCCCCCUGGUGUGGAGGGAGGGGUCUCGUUUGUGCGCGUGGGUGUAGCUUUGUGCAUCCUCUCCCAGUGGAGCGAUCACCUGUGCCUCCCCUCCCCCUUUGUUUGCCCCUGUGUGGUUGGUCAAGGAGGGAUGUGAGGCAAAUAGGGACCCCCCCCUUGCCCUCCUGCCUCAGUCUUUCCCCCACCCUGUCUCUUCCUUGUCCUUCUCUGGAAAAUGCCAAAAUACACGAUGUGAAUAAAAGUACAACGGCUAAA
RNAcentral lists this small RNA (2596 nucleotides) under Pongo abelii (Sumatran orangutan). Its description in RNAcentral is "retained intron". The record is from RNAcentral. Lineage: Eukaryota; Metazoa; Chordata; Mammalia; Primates; Hominidae.